RNAcentral lists this microRNA precursor (69 nucleotides) under Curtobacterium sp. ER1/6. Its description in RNAcentral is "microRNA mir-671". The record is from RNAcentral. Lineage: Bacteria; Bacillati; Actinomycetota; Actinomycetes; Micrococcales; Microbacteriaceae.
CGACCAGCAGGACGGCCUGGAGGCGCGUGGCGGAGUCCGCCACGCGCCUCCAGGCCGUCCUGCACCUCC